Molecule: ribosomal RNA, 515 nt
Filed under: uncultured bacterium
Lineage: Bacteria
Description: partial 16S ribosomal RNA
Rfam family: Bacterial small subunit ribosomal RNA
Source: RNAcentral
GAUGAACGCUGGCGGCGUGCCUAAUACAUGCAAGUCGAGCGAAUGGAUUAAGAGCUUGCUCUUAUGAAGUUAGCGGCGGACGGGUGAGUAACACGUGAGUAACCUGCCCAUAAGACUGGGAUAACUCCGGGAAACCGGGGCUAAUACCGGAUAACAUUUUGAACCGCAUGGUUCGAAAUUGAACGGCGGCUUCGGCUGUCACUUAUGGAUGGACCCGGGUCGCAUUAGCUAGUUGGUGAGGUAACGGCUCACAAAGGCAACGAUGCGUAGCCGACCUGAGAGGGUGAUCGGCCACACUGGGACUGAGACACGGCCCAGACUCCUACGGGAGGCAGCAGUAGGGAAUCUUCCGCAAUGGACGAAAGUCUGACGGAGCAACGCCGCGUGAGUGAUGAAGGCUUUCGGGUCGUAAAACUCUGUUGUUAGGGAAGAACAAGUGCUAGUUGAAUAAGCUGGCACCUUGACGGUACCUAACCAGAAAGCCACGGCUAACUACGUGCCAGCCGCCGCGGUAA